Gallus gallus (chicken) is the source of this 2747-nucleotide long non-coding RNA. NCBI's taxonomy places the organism in Eukaryota, Metazoa, Chordata, Aves, Galliformes, Phasianidae. The record is from Ensembl.
AAUUUUUUCCCCUUUUAAAGGGGGAGGAGGGAGGAGAGGGAGGGUGUGUGGGGGGUGUCAUUUCCUUCCUAUAGGAUUUUUUAUUAGUUUAUUUUAACUGUUUUUCUUUCCCUCUGCUGGUUUACUGCCUUGUAUCUAUCUACCCCUCAGGAGUUUAAAAGCCUCAACAACUUCUUUUGGCCCGAUCAGAGGAAAAUAUUCUGAACUUUAACAUCACUGGUUUGAAUCUGCAAUUCGGGCUGUGCUGUAAGAUCAUGUAAAGCUGAGGUGGUACCAGACAGACGUGGCACAGCUAUGCUGCUUUCUAAAAUACUGCGUGCUUCAGAGAGGAAACCUCGUUGUAGCUGAGAGGGCAAAAAGAAAGAACGAUUCCAAUCCUUGAACCUGUCUUCUCUUCACAUCAAUGCGAAGACUCCUCAAGGAAACUUUAAGACAACUGGGAGUUUUGCUGACAACUCUGAAGGGUUCAUACACACACUAUCUGAAACAAUGCCAGAAAACUCUGAAUGUGCUGCUUCUGGGGGGGUCGUUUUACUUAGCUGCAAAAGCCUUUAACCUUAGCGCAGUAUCACUGACGUGACAAUGAUUAACGUUUCACCUUCUUAAAAAGCCCAACAAUUGGGAUUAUUAUUAACAAGCAAAUUAUUCCUUUUAUUUUUCUUUUUUUCUCUCUCUGGGCCUUUUUUAUUUUUAUUUUUUUAAAUUAUUAUUAUUUAUUUCCCAGAGUUGUUUCAUUGGCUGCAAUCCUGGCUAGCAUUCCCCUUGAACUCUUCAUAAAUUGCCACAUAACCACGUGCAGGCUCAAGCAUGAUGUUUAGGAGGCUUGUAUGAUCAAGCCUGCUGAGCACUGAAUUGCAUAGCCAGUCCUUAAGAGGAAAGGCUGUUCAUAUAAAUAAUUUAUUCACCCUACCAUUUGCAGUGAUUUUUUUUUUUUUCAUUAUCAACACAAGAAUAUCUCCUGUGGUUUCAGAUCUCUUCACCUCCUUCUGCUGCACCCACAGUGGUAGGUAUGGGACUGUAAUACAACAGUGAGAGCAGAACAGCAACCCAACGGACUGCCAGAUUAACCUGUUCAAGUAGGCCAGGUCACUGCUGCUCACAGCCUCAUCUGUCUCCCAUUGUUAUACUGUGCUGAAUCCCAAAGAGCACUGGGUGCCUUCUGUCACAUGAAAGCCACAAAAUACUGUUUCAGCAAUGGGAACUGAGCUCCCUGAAUAGCUCCCAGGUAUCGACCUGGAGUAUAGUCUCUGAAUGUCUACUAACACAGAGGUGACAAAAGACCUUAUUAAAAGAAGGCUUCAAUUACUGAAUAAAUAUUUCAUCCAUUUUACUCAUUAACAAAGGAAGUUUUUAAGCAAUUAUUAAUUACACCAUGAUAGGGUAUUUUUAUUCUGCCUUCUUCAAACACUGUGUAGUUGAACCCUGUGAAUUAAGAGCCUAUUUCUGAUCCAUCUGUGUUCUUCAAUGGUAGCUAAAGGGAAGAAGUAGCUUUAGGCAUGACCUUUGAAAUUUAAGUGAGCAGCUAACACGACCUACAGAAUCACAGGUCUGUCCAGAUUGUCAGUAGAUAUCUGUCCCUUCAGUUCUCUCAGCAUUCAAAACAGGUGAACUUGGCACCUCGCUUGAGGCCAGGAGGAGCAGCUUGCUUUUGAUGAAUGGUGUGUGAUCUAAUGAACAACUUUGUUCUCAAAGUCCCUUGCGCCUCUUUGGGUCCGUCCUAUCUGAAGUCCUCAAAACAUUUGUUUCUGGAGCAGCUAACAUGUUUAGAAAUCAGCCAUAUAAGAAAACUUUGUGUGAGACACAGUUUAAGAAACAAAAGUUUUUAAGCAGAUGUUGCAGUUUUGGAGUAGCUGACGCACAGUUUUGUUUUUAAUAGAUUUACUGACUGAAACAAUCUUUAAUUAGAUGGUUUUAAUUAGAAUUCACUUCCAUAAGUUAUAAGCCACAAAGCCAGAUUCCACAUUAACUAAAAAUAUCAGCAUUUCUGUUUUAGAGAACAUUUGUGUUACCUGGUUACUGGAAUUAAGUUAAUCCAACCGUCUUUUCUUCUGUGUAACAAUCUGAGGCUUCUAAUUUGCAUAGAUAAGGCAUCAGAGAGAGCAUGGAGGAAAACCUUGGACAAAAUCACAAUCAUCAGUGGGAUUAUAUGAUUGCUAACCCUGAGCCCUUGUUCUGAGCUGGCUUUGCAACUGAGAAUGAAGCUAAACACAAAUGGUUAAAUUCACACAACAAACACCCAUAUGUUUUGUUUUGCGCUGUCUAUAUCUAUUCAUCAAAAAACCUUCCAUUUAGGGAAGGUGUUCUUACACUGAAAAAUGUUCAGUUCAUUGGCUUAUUCUCUGUAAGAAUUAAUAAACCCCUGAAAAAUUGCUGUGCGCAACAGCUUUAAUAGCUCUGUCCGGCUGCUUCCCAGUCUCUACCCCUUGAAAAUAAAACAAAUUCUAACUAUAAAUCAAGGCCGCUGAAAAUGAAGGCCAGUCGCACAUCACAGAGAAUGGUUUUAUAGGUGGAACGUGGGCUUGCUAAUUUCUAGAAUAAAUUAUUGUGUUUUACUGGAUGCAGUUCCAUUUACACACUUUCUGUCACGGAGACUUAAAAACAAAAUCAUAAUCCCUGCAAAAGGCUGGUUUUAAUAUGCUUAAUUCUUUUCCAGGCAUUUCUCAGUAUAAAACAUUUAGCUGACAAUGUGCCAGGAAAUCCCUUUCAUUAAAAUAAACACUGAUGCACACGUUGUGUAGCUAUCUCAC